UUAUAUUAUAUUAUGUUAUGUUCCCUCUUUUUUUUUUCUUUAUAUUAGUAUAAAUCUUCGAAUUUACUUUUGCAUUGGAUCAAGUAUAUUUGUGUUGAGUGUUGUGUUUCUCUAUCAAUUCUUCAACAACUACUCUGUUUUUUCUUUUAAUUUAUUUUUUAUUUAUUUAUUAGAAUGAAUAAAUGAAACGUUGACUUGAGAAAUAGAUGCAUUUAUAUUUUGUAUAGGCCAAAACAGUUGGCAUAGUUUGAAGUAAAAAUGGAGAGAGAAAGAGGUUUGGAUCAAACAGAGGUGGCGAAGGUUGGUGAUGAAAGCAAAAGCAAAAAUGGAACUGCCACCAAAACGGUGCCGUUUUACAAACUGUUCUCAUUUGCUGAUUCAGUAGACAAACUUUUGAUGAUCAUUGGUUCAAUUGGUGCCCUUGGCAAUGGUUUGUGCAUGCCUCUUAUGGCUAUCCUUUUCGGUGAACUCAUCGAUUCCUUCGGCCAAAAUCAAGACCCUACCCAAAUCAAACAAAUUGUUUCUGUUGUUUCUAAGGUAGCACUUAAGUUUGUUUACUUGGCUCUCGGGUGUGGUGUUGCCGCAUUCCUCCAGGUGUCUUGCUGGAUGAUCACUGGGGAAAGGCAGGCUUCUCGAAUCAGGAGUCUUUAUUUGAAAACAAUUUUAAGACAAGAUGUUGCUUUUUUCGACAAGGAAACUAAUACGGGAGAAGUUGUCGGGAGAAUGUCCGGUGAUACUGUACUAAUUCAAGAUGCCAUGGGCGAGAAGGUUGGGAAGUGUUUACAGCUGGUGUCGACAUUUUUGGGAGGGUUUGUAAUUGCAUUUACGAAAGGGUGGCUACUUACGCUCGUCAUGUUAUCAUCUAUUCCUUUGCUUGUUAUAUCUGGUGGUCUAAUGGCUGCUGCCUUAUCGAAGAUGGCUACUAGUGGUCAACAGGCUUAUGCUAAGGCUGCUAAUAUCGUCGAACAGACAAUUGGCUCCAUUCGAACCGUUGCGUCGUUUACUGGGGAGAAAAAAGCUGUGGCGGAUUACGAUAAGUCCCUAGUGAAAGCAUACAAGUCGGGUGUUAGCGAAGGGUGGGCAAGCGGUUUAGGAAUGGGUUGCGUUAUGUUCAUUAUAUUCAGCAGUUACGGUUUGGCUAUUUGGUUUGGUGCAAAGAUGAUCUUGGAGAAGGAUUAUACAGGUGGUGAUGUGCUCAGUGUCAUUGUUGCAGUCCUAACUGGUUCCAUGUCUCUUGGACAGGCAUCUCCUUGCAUGACAGCAUUUUCCGCGGGUCAAGCUGCGGCCUUCAAAAUGUUCGAAACUAUAAAUAGGAAACCUGAAAUAGAUUCGUACGAUACGAGUGGGAAGGUUCGGGAAGAUAUACGCGGGGACAUAGAAUUGCGAGACGUGCAUUUUAGUUAUCCAGCUAGACCCGACGAGCAUAUUUUCAGUGGCUUCUGUCUAUCAAUCCCGAGCGGUGUAACAGCCGCUUUGGUCGGACAGAGUGGGAGCGGCAAAUCAACCGUCAUAAGUUUGAUUGAAAGAUUUUACGACCCCCAGUCCGGUGAAGUUCUGAUCGACGGAAUCAAUCUGAAAGAUCUACAACUCAAAUGGAUAAGGUCAAAGAUCGGGCUCGUCAGCCAAGAGCCUGUACUUUUCACGGGUAGCAUUAAGGACAAUAUCGCAUACGGAAAAGACGGUGCUACCGAUGAAGAAAUCAGGGCGGCAGCAGAAAUGGCGAAUGCCGCUAAAUUCAUCGAUAAACUUCCGCACGGACUUGAUACGAAAGUCGGGGAACACGGUACUCAGCUUUCCGGUGGACAGAAACAGAGAGUUGCCAUAGCUAGAGCAAUUCUUAAAGAUCCUAGAAUAUUACUCUUGGAUGAAGCUACAAGUGCGCUGGAUUCUGAAUCGGAGAGAGUUGUCCAAGACGCAUUGGACAGGAUCAUGGUUAACAGAACAACCGUUGUUGUUGCACAUCGCUUAACCACGGUUAGGAAUGCCUCCAUGAUUGCUGUCAUUCACCAAGGAAAAGUGGUUGAAAAAGGCACUCAUUUGGAAUUACUCGAGGACCCGGAAGGGGCAUAUUCUCUGUUGAUACGCUUACAAGAAGAAAAUAGAGACGAAGGGCAUGAUGACGGUCACGAAAAAUUAGAAAAAUCAUCCGACAUAACUAUUUUGGAUUCGGGACGAUAUUCUUCAAGUAAAAAAAUGUCGUUCGUACGUUCAAUCAGCCAAGGGUCGUCCGGGAAAGGAAACAGCUUUCACCGAUCGUUGUCAAACAAGAUUGUUGGAGUGGCACCGGAUAUUUCUGAAUUAGAAAAGUCGGAAAAUGAAAAGCCUCCAAAAGUCCCUCUUCGUCGACUAGCCUAUCUCAACAAACCCGAGGUGCCGUUUCUAAUGGGUGGAGCUCUAUCCGCACUUGUCAACGGCGCAAUAAUGCCUACCUUCGGUAUACUAAUUGCCGGCGUCAUCAAAACGUUCUUCGAAACUCCAGAUAAACUACGUAAAGAUUCCAAGUUUUGGGCGAUAAUAUUUGUGGUUCUCGGAGCAAUUUCGUUAAUUGCGUAUCCAUCAAGAACGUAUCUAUUUGGGGUGGCGGGGAAUAGGCUGAUCAAGAGGAUUAGAUUGUUGUGCUUCGAGAAGGUCGUUAAUAUGGAGGUUGGUUGGUUCGAUGAGUCUGAGCACUCGAGUGGGUUUAUUGGAGCAAGGCUUUCUGCGGAUGCUGCUUCGGUUCGUGCUUUAGUUGGUGAUGCACUUGCACAAAUGGUUCAAGAUUUGUCAUCUGCAGUUGUUGGAUUGGCUAUUGCUUUUGAAGCUUGUUGGCAGUUAGCUCUCAUCGUCCUUGUUAUGAUACCUCUUAUCGGAUUGAACGGAUUUGUUCAGAUCAAGUUUAUGAAAGGGUUCAGCGCCGAUGCAAAGGCAAUGUACGAGGAAGCAAGCCAAGUGGCUAAUGAUGCGGUUGGGAGUAUAAGAACAGUUGCUUCGUUCUGCGCGGAAGAGAAGAUAAUGGAAAUAUACAAAAAGAAGUGUGAAGGUCCUAUGAGGAACGGGAUUAAUCAAGGGUUGAUUAGCGGGAUCGGGUUCGGUUCAUCCUUUGCACUGUUGUUUCUCGUCUAUGGUGCUAGCUUUUACUUUGGAGCUCGACUCGUUGAGGAUGGAAAAACUACUUUUUCUGAAGUGUUCCGGGUUUUCUUUGCUCUAACAAUGGCAGCAAUGGCAAUCUCUCAAUCAAGUGCUUUUGCACCAGAUUCAACCAAAGCUAAGAGCGCUGCUGCUUCAAUAUUCGCCAUUCUUGACAGAGAAUCUAAGAUCAAUCCAAGUGACGAAUCCGGGGAGAAAUUACAAAGUGUAAAGGGAGAAAUUGAACUAAAACACGUGAGCUUCAAGUAUCCAACUAGGCCCAAUGUCCAAAUUCUACGCGACUUUUCCUUGAAAAUUCACAGUGGCAAGACGGUUGCUUUGGUUGGAGAGAGCGGAUGUGGGAAAUCAACAGUGAUAUCUUUAUUGCAAAGAUUUUAUGAUCCAGAAUCGGGGCACGUGACACUUGACGGUGUCGAGAUUCAAAAAUUCCAAUUGAAAUGGCUUAGGCAGCAGAUGGGAUUAGUCAGCCAAGAGCCGAUCUUGUUUAACGACACAAUCCGUGCCAACAUUGCUUACGGUAAAGAAGGAGACGUAACAGAGGCCGAAAUCAUAGCUGCAGCCGAGCUAGCAAACGCCCAUAAAUUCAUUAGUGGAUUGCAGCAGGGCUACGAUACGGUGGUCGGAGAAAGAGGGGUGCAAUUGUCGGGGGGACAAAAGCAAAGAGUGGCAAUUGCAAGGGCUAUAAUGAAAAGUCCGAAAAUACUAUUGUUGGAUGAGGCAACGAGCGCAUUGGAUGCUGAAUCCGAGAGGAUAGUACAAGAUGCACUUGAUAGAGCAACUAUGAAUCGGACAACGGUUGUGGUGGCUCAUAGGGGGGUCGGGCAAUCAAAGCAGCUGAUGUUAUUGCUGUCGUUAAAAACGGAGCAAUUGUCGAGAAAGGGAAGCACGACACGCUAAUCAAUAUCAAAGAUGGGUUUUAUGCAUCCUUACUCUCACUUCAUACAACCACUUCAACAUGAGAAAUGCGUUACGCAUUUGUUUAUUUUUGGACGAGUUCAUUUAGUUUGCCAUCUUUUUUUUUUGUCGUGUUAUUUGUAGUUAUAACUAUACCGUUUUGCUUCUUGAUAAUAAAAUUAUUUGUGCUAUACCCCAUCA
Molecule: non-coding RNA, 4221 nt
Organism: Erythranthe guttata (spotted monkey flower)
Lineage: Eukaryota; Viridiplantae; Streptophyta; Magnoliopsida; Lamiales; Phrymaceae
Source: RefSeq, a predicted model, not a curated record